RNAcentral lists this ribosomal RNA (460 nucleotides) under uncultured bacterium. RNAcentral's name for it is "partial 16S ribosomal RNA". It matches the Rfam family "Bacterial small subunit ribosomal RNA", at positions 338 to 795 of the family's 1533-position model. The record is from RNAcentral.
CCUACGGGUGGCAGCAGUGAGGAAUAUUGGUCAAUGGGCGAGAGCCUGAACCAGCCAAGUAGCGUGAAGGAUGACUGCCCUACGGGUUGUAAACUUCUUUUAUAUAGGAAUAAAGUGAUGCACGUGUGCCUUUUUGUAUGUACUAUAUGAAUAAGGAUCGGCUAACUCCGUGCCAGCAGCCGCGGUAAUACGGAGGAUCCGAGCGUUAUCCGGAUUUAUUGGGUUUAAAGGGAGCGUAGAUGGGUUGUUAAGUCAGUUGUGAAAGUUUGCGGCUCAACCGUAAAAUUGCAAUUGAUACUGGCAGACGUGAGUACAGUAGAGGUAGGCGGAAUUCGUGGUGUAGCGGUGAAAUGCUUAGAUAUCACGAAGAACUCCGAUUGCGAAGGCAGCCUACUAAACUGCAACUGACACUGAUGCUCGAAAGUGUGGGUAUCAAACAGGAUUAGAUACCCUAGUAGUC